CCUACGGGAGGCAGCAGUGGGGAAUAUUGCACAAUGGGGGAAACCCUGAUGCAGCGACGCCGCGUGGGCGAAGAAGUAUUUCGGUAUGUAAAGCUCUAUCAGCAGGGAAGAAGAAAUGACGGUACCUGAGCAAGAAGCACACGCCAAAUACGAGCCAGCAGCCGCGGUAAUACGUAUGGUGCAAGCGUGAUCCGGAUUUACGGGGUGUAAAGGGAGGGCAGGCGGCAAGGCAAGCCUGAUGUGAAAGACCGCGGCCCAACCGCGGGACUGCAUUGGGAACUACCGGGCUGGAGUGCCGGAGAGGUAGGCGGAAUUCCUGGUGGAGCGGUGAAAUGCAUAGAUAUUAGGAGGAACACCAGUGGCGAAGGCGGCCUACUGGACGGUGACUGACGCUGAGGCUCGAAAGCGUGGGGAGCAAACAGGAUUAGAUACCCCUGUAGUC
This 442-nucleotide ribosomal RNA is filed under the name uncultured bacterium. RNAcentral's name for it is "partial 16S ribosomal RNA". It matches the Rfam family "Bacterial small subunit ribosomal RNA", at positions 338 to 795 of the family's 1533-position model. The record is from RNAcentral.